This 4926-nucleotide long non-coding RNA is filed under the name Homo sapiens (human). RNAcentral's name for it is "non-protein coding lnc-CRHR2-3:1". The record is from RNAcentral. Lineage: Eukaryota; Metazoa; Chordata; Mammalia; Primates; Hominidae.
ACCCCGGCCGACCUACUUGAACGGACACUUCUGUUUCUGUUCUUUCGCGCCCUGCGCCUUAAAAGGGUCGCAAAACAUCAAAUCAGAUAGGGAUCUUAGACUUCUGUUGCUCAAGUGCAGAUGUUCCCCAGAUAAGGAAAUAGGCCCAGAGAGGUUAAUGAUUUGCCCAGAGUCACACAUUCUUGGUCCGCCGAUGUCAAGACAAAAGCUGGCGAACGGGGGAGGAGGAGUGAGGGGAUAGAGUCACCCCAGGCUUUCUGGAGAAGGUAAAUUCCAAUCUGCCCUUGCGGGGCGAGCAGGAUUUGAACCGGCAGAGAUGAGGAAAGGCAAGAGGUGCCUGAUAAGUCUUUCUGCUUGGCAUAGCCUCAGUCUAUCUGCCUCCUGUGGUUAGGCCCCAGCUGACCAACCACCCAGAGAUGGCUUCCCCCCGCCCCACACACCCAGUUCCUCCUGCCCAAAGGGUGGAGGGCCUAGAAAAGCUGGGUUCCCCCUCCAGGAAAGGAAGAGAAAAAUGAUGUGUUGGUUAUAAAAACAGCAUUGCGCACACCUGCAAAAAUGGCUAAAAUGAAAAUGAUGGAAAAUGCCAAGUGACCCUCUGAGACUCCCCUACACUGCUCAGGGGAGUGUUAACUGGUGCAGCCAGCCACUUGGGAGCUCUUCGGCAGUAUGCACGUACGUCUCCCUGUGACCCACAAUCCCACCCCAGGAGUGUGCAGGAGUAGACGGGCUCAGUAUAAUGAAGUCUCCUUUCCUAAUGGUGUGAAAGUCCAUGUUAUUUCUCUUCCCGUUCCAGUGUGCAGUUCUGGAGAAGUACUUACAAUUCAACAUGAGCAGGGUGGGUUGCUUAAGAACCUUCUGCAAUAUUGAACAAUUAUAUUUUUAAACACUUUUAUUUCAAGAUUUGAUAUUAAUUAUAAUUUAUUUGGCUUUUAUUUUACUAGGCAAUUUUGAAUUUAUUUUAAUAUCUUUAAAUGUGAAAAAUCAUUUUAAGUUUUACUUUUAUUUUUAUUUAGAUUUUUAUUAAAAUGUUGAAAUUCUAUAUCCUUUGAAUAAAACUAUUUUAUUUCUAAAAAAUUCCUUAGAUCAAUAAUGUCUCAUCCAUUUUCAUGUUAGGACAGUCCUGAAAGGACUCCAAAUCCGUUCUUCCCUCCUCCCCGACCAAUUCAUCCUCCCCACUGCUGCUUCAGUCAUUCUUUCUUUCUUUUUUCUUUUUCUUUUUUUUUCCAGACGGAGUCUCGCUCUUUCACCCAGGCUGGAGUGCAGUGGCGUGAUCUUGGCUCACUGCAACCUCCGCCUCCCGGGUUCAGGCGAUUCUCCUGCCUCAGCCUCCUGAGUAGCUGGGAUUACAGGCGUGCGCCACCACACCCAGCUAAUUUUUUUAUUUUUAGUAGAGACGAGGUUUCACCAUGUUGGUCAUGCUGGUCUCGAACUCCUGACCUCGUGAUCCGCCCGCCUCAGCCUUCCAAAGUGCUGGGAUUACAGGUGUGAGCCACUGCACUCGGCCCAGUCAUUAUUUCUGAAAGGCAAAUCUGACUGUGUCCCUUCUCUUCUCAGGACACUUCAGUAGGCUCUUCAUGGCCCUUGGAAGAAUUUCCCAAACAGUUUUCUUUUGAAAACUGUGUCUGCACAAUAAUGAUAAUAGUUUAUGUUUGUUGAGCACUCACUAUGUACCAGUUAGUUCUAAUUUAUCUCAUGGAAUUUAUUCACCAAUUUAGUGAGAUAGGUUCUAUAGUUAUUCAGAAUUUUCACAUGUGGGAUUCAAGGGACUGAGAUAUCAAACAGCUUGUCCAUGGUCACACAACUAAGUGAGUGUUGGGCCAGAAUGUGAGCUGGGGGCAGAGGCAGAUUUUCUACAUAGCUAAUGAAGCUUCAAGUGAGUUUAGCCCCUUUCUCUGUUGGGCUCUUUAAGUGCCCUGCAAGAGGCCCUAGUAUUGUGUAUGUAUGAUCAUAUAUUUUUCUUGCUUUAUUAAAGUUCAUUUCUUUGAGGGAAAUAAAUUUUGCAUACAUUAAAAUGAACAAAAAUGUAUAGUUCAAUGGGUUUCGACAAAGCAAUAUCCUUUUGUAACCCCAACACCAAGCAAGAUAAAGAACAUUUUCCCCUGACUCCACAAAGUUCCCUUGCAUGUCAUCCCGGUCAUCCCACCCUCCACAACCAGGCGAUCACUAUUCUCAUUUAUUUUCCUCUUAGAUCUAGACUGUUGUAUAAAUGAAAUAAUGUAAUAUGUACUCUGUGUCUGAUGUCUUUAAUUGACCAUAAUGUGUGAGAGAUUAAUCCAUAUUGUUUCACAUAUCAGAAACUUGCCCUUUUUUGCUCUGAAGUAUCCCAUUGUGUGAAUAUACUAUAAUUUAUUAAUUUAUUCACUAGUUGAUAGACAUUUGGGUUGUUUCAUAUUGUAGACCAUUAUGAAUAAUGCUGCUGUGAACAUUCUCAUACAUCUUUUUUUGUAGCUAUAUGUUUUCAUUUCUCUUGGGUAAAUAUCUAGGUGCGGAAUUACUGAGUCAAACAAUAGAUGCAUAUUUAAUUUUAUUAGAUUGUCACAAGUUUUUCCAAUGUGGUCGUAUUAUUUUAUGUUCUUAAGAGCAAUAUAUAAGAGUUCUAGUUGCUCCACAUCCUUGUUAACAUUUGAUGUUGCCGGCCUUCCAGAUUUUAGCUAUUCUAAUAGUUGUAUCUCAUUGUGACUUGUAUGCAUUUUCCUGGUGAUUAAUAGAGUUGAUUGUGUUUUCAUGUGCUUAGUGGUCAUUUGUACCUCUUCUUUUGUGAAACAUCCACAUUUUUUGUCUUUGCUUUUUAAUAUUGAAUUAUAGGAGAUUUAGAUAUGCUGGAUACAGUCCUUUGCUAGGUACAUGUUUCAUAAAUAUUUUCUUCCAGUCUGUGGCUUGCCUGUUUGUUAAUGAUGGUUUUGAUAAGCAGAAAUUUUUAAUUUUGAUGAAGUCUAAUUUAUCAAUUUGUUUUUUUUCUGGGUUCUAAAAAAUCUUUGCCUACUCUCAGAUAUUCACCCAUAUUUUUGUCCAAAAUUUUAGUAGUUUUAUGUUUAGGUCUAUGAUGCAUCUUGAAUUAACUUUUGUGUAUAGUUUUAGGUAAGAGUCAAAGUUCAUUCUUCCCAUAUAGAUAUCCAGUUGCUACAGCAUCAUUUGUUGGAAAAAAGUAGGGCUUACAAAAAAUUACUGCCAUUGAUCAGCUCUAGUGCCUUUGUCAAAAAUAAGUUCACCAUAUAAGGUGGACCUAUAUCUGGGGUCUCUAUUCUGUUCUAAUGAUCCAUUUAUCUAUCAAUCUUUAUGCUAGUAUCACACUUCCUUGAUGACUAUUGCUUGAGGAUAAUUCCUGAAGUCAAAUAAUGUAUAUUGUCUACCCUUUCUUCUUUUUCAAAAUUGUUUUUCUAUUCCAGGUUCUUUCUAUUUCUAUAUAAAUUUUAGAAUUGACUUAUCAACUUUGUAAAAAUACCUGCUGGAAUUGUGAACCUGUAGUUUAAUUUGGGGAGAAUUCAUAGUUUAAAGCACUGAAUGCAUUUUGAUAAAUAUAUUCCUAAGUAUUUUAUUCUUUGAGUCUUGUGAAUGUUAUUUUAUUUUCCAUUGAUUUGCUGUUAAUGUAGAGAAAUAUAAUUGAUUUUGUAUAGUGACAUUGAGACUUUCACUUAUUAGUGCUAUUAUUUGUUUUGUAGGGGCGGGGGUUGUAGAUUCCUUAGGAUUUUCUUUUUUUUUUGAGACGGAGUCUCGCUCUGUCGCCCAGGCCGGACUGCGGACUGCAGUGGCGCAAUCUCGGCUCACUGCAAGCUCCGCUUCCCGGGUUCACGCCAUUCUCCUGCCUCAGCCUCCCGAGUAGCUGGGACUACAGGCGCCCGCCACCGCGCCCGGCUAAUUUUUUGUAUUUUUAGUAGAGACGGGGUUUCACCUUGUUAGCCAGGAUGGUCUCGAUCUCCUGACCUCAUGAUCCACCCGCCUCGGCCUCCCAAAGUGCUGGGAUUACAGGCGUGAGCCACCGCGCCCGGCCGAUUCCUUAGGAUUUUCUGUAUUAAUAUGCAUAUACUUUGUAAAUAGAAUCAGUUUUACUUCUUUCUUUCCAAUAUUUAUGCCUUUUUCUUUUACUUGUGUGGUUGCGUAGUCUAGGUCAUCUUGCACAAUAUUGAAUAGAAGCAGUGAAUGAACAUCUUGCCUUGUUCCUGAUAUUAGAGGGAAAAGUGUUCAAUGUUUCUCCAUUUAGUGUAAUGCUAACAAAUUCAACUUGGUUUUGUCUUUCUUAUAUUCUGCUGGAUUUUAUUUACUAACAUCUUGAUAAAGAUUUUUGCCUGUAUGUUCAUGAAAAAUGAACAUACAGGCAAUCAGUGUAUUGUUUUCUUUUCUUGUAUCUUUGCCAGGUUUUGGCCUGGCUUUAUAAAAUCAGAGUUUCUUUCUUCUCUAUUUUCUGAAAUUUCAAUAUUUGUAAGAUUGUUAUCAUUUCUUCCAUAACCAUUUGAUAGAAUUCACCAGUGAAUUCUGGAGUUUUCUUUGUGGAAAAGUUUUUUUGCAGUUGCAGAGCCAUCCAUGCUUUCUAUUUCAUCUUUUGCCACUUUUGGUAAGUUUUGUUUUUCAGGGAAUCUGGCCAUUUCAUAUAAGUUAUCAGAUUUAUUGUUUUAAAGUUGUUCAUAAUAUUCCAGUAGUAUUAUUUGAAUAUAUGUAUAAGAUCUGGAAUGAAAUCUCCUCUUUCAUUCCUGAUACCAGUAAUUAGUUUUUUUCUCUCCCUCUCUUUUCUUGAUUAGUCUUGCUAAAAGCUUACCAAUUUUAUCAAUUUUGUUAAACAUAAAAGUUUUGGGUUUGUUAAUGUUCUCUAUUAUUUUGUCUAUUUUCUAUUCCAUUGAUUUCCACUUUUAUCUUUAUAAUGUUUUCCUUUUUACUUACUCUGGGUUUAAUUUGCUCUUCUUUUUUAGCUUCUCAAUAUGAAAAUUUAUAAGC